AUAUACGCAAAAUAAAUAUAUUUAUAGAAAAAGAGGUUUUUUUUUUUUUUUUUUGGAUGUUCGAUGGUUUAUUAUUGGAUUUCCAUUCCGUGAUUCAUUCAAUGGCAUACUGUAGCUACUGAAUCAUUUUGUUUUAUUACGUUUCCCAUGCAUUGUUAGUCGAUAUUUCAUCUCGGAAGAAGAGGAGACUGUUAAUAAAGGUGUAUUUAGUUGCAUCCCGCGGUUUGCUCAUAAAAUGAAACGUCUACGUACGAGUUCUUGCAUGGGAUCACUCGCUAUUGGAUUGUUAUCGCGGUUAGCCCAUAACGCACCUGAGCGAUCGUUCUGUAGCUCGAAUUAUAGCAUUUAAAAUUCUUGCGCCUCUAGAAAAAAUAAAUAAAUAAAAAAUCUAGAGGAAGAGAACUGAAUAGAUGUUUUAAGGAUUAGUUUGGUGCAAUAAUUACCGACUAGAUCUCAGUGCGACGUUGAAGAACGUUAGUGAUUGACAGGGAUCUGUAAGAGGAGUGUCAAUACUCGAGAUUGGUACACUCUAAUUCCCAGCUUUUAUCGAGAAAUACUGUUUCCUCCAUCGCAAAUGGGGGUAUUCGCCAAAAUUUUGUAAACAAGCCCUCGUCUCCGUGCAUUCGCAUCGCUCCCGAUUUGGGACUUCACGUUUUCUUUCGUUUUACUGGCUUAGGAAAAUGAAAAAAUGGGAGUGCGAUUUAUAAGCGGAUACAGGUAUAAGUCUGGUGAUGUAUCUAUCGAUCGGGCCCCCGAAACGCACGGUGGGCCGAAGUCCGUCGAUUGAGGAAAGCGCGGGCCCGUCUGUUAGCACAUAGGAGGAAAAAAAAAAAGUAGACGGAAUGCAUACACUGGCUGGCACAUGUGGCGCCUCCUAUCGACGCCCGCAACGACGGAUGGUGGCAGCAUUGUCGCAAGAAGCAAAGCUGCAUGCGAAGCGAACGAGUGGCGGUUUGCAGUGUGUAUGUGUACGACUUGCCGCGAGUGAGCUGCUGAGUGUUCAGGUGUGCAGGGAGGCAGGCUGGCUGGCUGGCAGGCACGAGGGAUAGUUAACGAUAGCAAAGGUGAUGAUGGAAGAUACGGCGAGCCAGGAAGGUAGAGGUAAGGGUUAUUGAACCGCUACACCUACGAGUAUCAUCGCUGUACGUACGUUCUUUACGGACUCGGCCGUCGCCAUCUUUGAGCCGCACUUGCCCCCCAUUCCUGUAUUAUACGAUAUACAUUUUUUUUAGUUUGUCCGAUUGGAAUGAAGAAAACCAAGAUGGCCGCCCUAUCAAAAAAUCUUCACGUAGUACGCAAAGGAUACGAUCGGUUCGGUUUUUCGCGUCUAGUCGAUGCCAGUGUUCGACUCGGUAGAGAGAGACACACAGCAGCAUCGCGUCGUCGUGGUUGUCGCGCAGGAAAUGCGCGCGAGUGACGUUUAUCUCGAUCGGAAAAUUAUAUAUACGGUUAUAAGUAUAUACAUAUAAGCCUAAUUGGCACAGCCAAUAUGGCGUCCGCGAAACACGUGGGGUUUGGCCUUCGGUGGCAGGUAUUACACUUCCACCGAAAGGGCGAAGUAUCGACUAACAAACGUCUUUCUGUAAGUCGCCUAGCGAUAGAAAAGGAGAAAAAAAUUUAAUGUAGUGGACGGGCUAGUCCAUUGUCGUCGGUAAAGGGUUGUAAGCCGGGUGGCGGAUUUCCAGGAAGCUGUUCAUGCCGUGUGUCCGCCAACAAUCGUCAUUGGGACAUUGUUUAAAUUGAUGAACUCCUUACAGCUCUAGAACCUACCUUAAUGCUAGAUUGCAAUCGAAAACGACCAAAACGUGGCUUUUAUCCUUCGCGUAUUUGUUUAGCUUUGUCCUUGAAGCUCGUCGGUUUAUCUUAAGUGUCGCUUUAUAUCAAAAACCAUCGUCGCCUUGUAAAAGUACCUUGCACAGUAGGCGUAUGUGUGUGUGGGUUCGAUUUCAUCGUCUGAAAACACUAAAAACCGAUUUUAUUUUUAUUUUAUUUAAAUCUCGCUUAAUCUACUCCACAAAAUAGGCGAGAUAAAUUAGAACGAAUGCGUUUGGCCCUUUCGCGGGCCCACACGAUUUUCUAUUUCCUCUUCGCCAUUUUCUUUCUUUUUUUUUAUAACGAUUUUUAUUUUUGAGGUUACCAGGCGUCAGUGACCCCUUCGUUGCCUGGUUUAUCCUUUGAGGCCUCAGGUUCGAAAUCGCAUCGCAGCUGUCCAUUUGGAACAUUUUCCCCAGAAAGCACCUCCGAAAGUAAGGAAAUGAAACAGUUUUCCUUCACCACGACCUAUCUGUGUAUCUAUAUAUAUAUACGUAUAAUAACGGCGGCAGUAAUGUUACUGUUUUAUCAGUAAACCCUUUAACGCUGCCUCUCAAGGCUCAUUCAAAUACGUCGUAGCGCUUCCCGUUACUCUAGUGGGGCCAUUGAGGAGAAGUUGAUUGCCACUGUUUACACUGCGUGUUCCCCAACCCGGAAGUGAUAAGAGCAAGGUCGUACCCCUUUCCGAACCCCGCCGAGGUCACCCCUUCUGUCCCUCAGCUCUAACCCUCUAGCACCCCCACACCCAUGGGGCCUCUCGUUUUCUCUUCCUGUAUGCGGCUCCUCUCCCUCUCAUUCCAUUCAGAUCAAAGUCGACAGAUAGGGAUGGAAACACAUUAAUUCUCUCUUUAACGGGCCACUAUCCACUUUACUUUGUUGGCCACACAGUAUCUCCCUUUGUUAUCGAUUCAAAAUAUUUAUUCGGAUGAGGCUGAAUGAUGUAUCCCUUUCUUGAGAGCCUCCGGAACUCCAGUGUCUUAUCGAAGAGGCCACUUUGUUUAUUUUCUUAUAAACGAUUUUUCUAUCUUGAUUUCUUUAUUGAAUUCCUUCCUUCUAACAUUUUUUUUUUCUAAUAAUUAUUUUCGCGUAGUCGUAGCUAGUAAUCUAUCGCUCUGUAUGUUUCCUUUCUGUGGUAGAUAUUUUCAUUCAAAACGAUGUUUCUCGUUACAGGAAGACAUGGAAGAUCAAUCGCAGUUUGCAGCAUUUGACGUUUUUUUUUUUUUUUUUUUUUUUAAUAUAUAU
This 3054-nucleotide long non-coding RNA is filed under the name Androctonus crassicauda. The record is from RNAcentral. Lineage: Eukaryota; Metazoa; Arthropoda; Arachnida; Scorpiones; Buthidae.